GAUCAUGGCUCAGGACGAACGCUGGCGGCGUGCCUAAUACAUGCAAGUAGAACGCUGAAGGAGGGAGCUUGCUUCUUCUGGAUGAGUUGCGAACGGGUGAGUAACGCGUAGGUAACCUGCCUGAUAGCGGGGGAUAACUAUUGGAAACGAUAGCUAAUACCGCAUAAGAGGUAAUAACACAUGUUAUUAGUUUAAAAGGGGCAAUUGCUCCACUAUCAGAUGGACCUGCGUUGUAUUAGCUAGUUGGUAAGGUAACGGCUUACCAAGGCGACGAUACAUAGCCGACCUGAGAGGGUGAUCGGCCACACUGGGACUGAGACACGGCCCAGACUCCUACGGGAGGCAGCAGUAGGGAAUCUUCGGCAAUGGGGGCAACCCUGACCGAGCAACGCCGCGUGAGUGAAGAAGGUUUUCGGAUCGUAAAGCUCUGUUGUAAGAGAAGAACGGAUGUGGGAGUGGAAAAUCCAUGUCGUGACGGUAUCUUACCAGAAAGGGACGGCUAACUACGUGCCAGCAGCCGCGGUAAUACGUAGGUCCCGAGCGUUGUCCGGAUUUAUUGGGCGUAAAGCGAGCGCAGGCGGUUUCAUAAGUCUGAAGUUAAAGGCAGUGGCUUAACCAUUGUACGCUUUGGAAACUGUGAGACUUGAGUGCAGAAGGGGAGAGUGGAAUUCCAUGUGUAGCGGUGAAAUGCGUAGAUAUAUGGAGGAACACCGGUGGCGAAAGCGGCUCUCUGGUCUGUAACUGACGCUGAGGCUCGAAGGCGUGGGGAGCAAACAGGAUUAGAUACCCUGGUAGUCCACGCCGUAAACGAUGAGUGCUAGGUGUUGGGUCCUUUCCGGGACUCAGUGCCGCAGCUAACGCAUUAAGCACUCCGCCUGGGGAGUACGACCGCAAGGUUGAAACUCAAAGGAAUUGACGGGGGCCCGCACAAGCGGUGGAGCAUGUGGUUUAAUUCGAAGCAACGCGAAGAACCUUACCAGGUCUUGACAUCCCGAUGCCCGCUCUAGAGAUAGAGUUUUUCUUCGGAACAUCGGUGACAGGUGGUGCAUGGUUGUCGUCAGCUCGUGUCGUGAGAUGUUGGGUUAAGUCCCGCAACGAGCGCAACCCUUAUUGUUAGUUGCCAUCAUUCAGUUGGGCACUCUAGCGAGACUGCCGGUAAUAAACCGGAGGAAGGUGGGGAUGACGUCAAAUCAUCAUGCCCCUUAUGACCUGGGCUACACACGUGCUACAAUGGCUGGUACAACGAGUCGCAAGUCGGUGACGGCAAGCUAAUCUCUUAAAGCCAGUCUCAGUUCGGAUUGUAGGCUGCAACUCGCCUACAUGAAGUCGGAAUCGCUAGUAAUCGCGGAUCAGCACGCCGCGGUGAAUACGUUCCCGGGCCUUGUACACACCGCCCGUCACACCACGAGAGUUUGUAACACCCGAAGUCGGUGAGGUAACCUUUUAGGAGCCAGCCGCCUAA
RNAcentral lists this ribosomal RNA (1462 nucleotides) under uncultured bacterium. RNAcentral's name for it is "bacterial SSU rRNA". It matches the Rfam family "Bacterial small subunit ribosomal RNA". The record is from RNAcentral.